This is a long non-coding RNA of Limulus polyphemus (Atlantic horseshoe crab), 160 nucleotides long. RefSeq lists it as uncharacterized. The record is from RefSeq and is a predicted model, not a curated record. Lineage: Eukaryota; Metazoa; Arthropoda; Merostomata; Xiphosura; Limulidae. The transcript is spliced from 3 exons.
UUCCAGCAGAAUAGGUGAAAGUUGAUGAUGGUGAAGUGGAACCAAGUAGAGAUAUUCAAGCAGAAUUGGAGAAAGACCAAGAUUUGAAGCCAAUAAUUGAUUUUCUACAAGCAAGUGUUUUGCACCCUGCUUGGGAGAAGGUGUCUAGCUUAAGCCCUGU